GGUGGGCCUCGAGGAGCCCUGGAAAAGGGUGGAGCUGGAUGGAGGCUGGCACCAGGAGCAGUUUUGUGAUUUCCAGUCACUAGCAUUUGCUAACAGCAACGGAAACCAGUACAAGCUCAGCACCAUGGGCAAUACAGACAGACAGAGCCUAACACAACGACCUCCCAGAUGUAUCCAGAGGUGCAGGAGGAGAGGCUGAGGGAGGGCAACACUGUCUGACUGGUGACGGUGCCUGCAGUACACAGGCCACAGAGAGAAAAGGCCAAGGUGACCAAGAGGAAGAGCAUUUGAAGCCUGCUCCGUUUCAUCCUUGACCUUGUUUCUGUUUCUUCCUGGUCUGUGCUCCUAGGCAGUCGGGGGAGGGGGAGGGACAUGUGGGCUGGUAGGGAGGACACACUGGCUUUGGGGUCUCUGGGCUCAUCUUGUGGCAGAAUUUUUUUGAUGAUUCAAAUGGCUUUAGGGACCCUGGGAUGGAUGGCGCAGGGAGGGAUAUGUUGGUGUGAGUCACCAAGGGUAUGUCUCCUCCCAUGUGAACUUUCCCAGCUGGAACAUCCAAUUUCAGGUGGGGUCAAAGAGGGUUUAGGUUUAAAGAUGGGUGUCUGUCUGUGCCCUUGCUACUCUAUUUCAUGGUGAUUUGAUUCAAAGAUGUUUACAGGACACACACACACACAUGCACACACACCACGAGGAAAGUUUGAUUACUGGUGGGUAACACAAGCACAGUCCUGCUGCUGUGGUUCAGCCUUCAAUGCUGUCAAUCCAAGAGAAACUUUCCCAACUACCCAGCCCACCCAUGACCACUCAGGCUCAGUGCCAUGCCUCUAUAACCUGAACACAGGCACAGAAGGCCAUCCCAUAUGUCCCCUCCCACCUGGGUCUCCCAGCACAGCUGCUGUGGUACGAGCAGAAGAUGGCUGAUGUACCCCAAGGUGAGAAAUGGAAACCUGGUUAAGUAUUCCCUACUGCUUGGGGACCCUCUCCAAAGAGGUGGUUUGGUUAGUACUCAGUGCUGUGUGCUCCCAGGUCCUUCCUGUGCAGCCAGGCAGGCCAAGGGUCCUGACAGGGAACACCAUCUUUGGAGCCCACCUGCCGGUUCCUGGGACCCUGCCAGGGAAGGCCACUGGGUAGUCACUUGCAGAGUUUCUUGUUGUCGUUGCACAAUGGCCACAUCAUCCUUGGGUAUUAAAAGGACACUGUCA
This 1199-nucleotide long non-coding RNA is filed under the name Marmota monax (woodchuck). The record is from RNAcentral. Lineage: Eukaryota; Metazoa; Chordata; Mammalia; Rodentia; Sciuridae.